CAGGAACGCAGCUUUACUAUGCAAAGCGCGCCGCGGACGAGUGCACCGGUGGUGCACCGCUUCGGCCUCCUCCGCCAGGCGCCGCCUAUCGCGAUUCGACAGCACACGUCUCUGUGGCGCUUCGCGGCAUCAACAGCAUCGGCGGGCACUCUUCUCCUCAGCCACAGCGGCAGUGGCGGCGGCUCGGCGGUAGCGUGUAGCUGUCCGUCGUUCCAGCGCGCGCACAUCCGCACGGUCGUUCCUCCUCGCCCGGCUGUAACGACGCUUGUAUACCUGGACCACUCCGGUCGAGCGGUGCGCACCGGCGUCGAGACGGAUCUCUCGUUCAUCCGCACCCGUGACAACAAGUUCUACCUGCAGCGGGUGCUGCCCAAUGGGGAAGUUGUGCGGUGGUUGGCGCCUGGCCUCAACUACCUCAAGAACGUCACCAACUUCGAAACGUACUCGCUCAACGAGAUCGAUGAGAAUGGUGGCAUCGUUAUACCUGCCGAUGUGAUGCCGACGGCGGCCCACGACGCGCCAGGCUUCCGCGACGCGAUCUUCUACAUUACAAAGCUUGAGGCGACGAGCAAGUUCACGCGCAAGGAUCGCCGUCGCUGGCACCGACGCCUCUUCGCGCACUGGAAAGAAAGCCCGGAGAAGUACCUGAACCACACGCUGGGCACCUACGGCAUUAUCUUCCUCGUCGUGCUUUGGGUUUGCGUGCGAGGCUUCCACAGCAUCAAGAACCAAAAGCCGUUCUGGGAUAUCAACGUGUAUGGCCACACCGACGAGGAGCGGGAGCGCACCGACCCGUGGCUGCGGCUGAAGCGUUUCUCGGAGCGCCACCCGGAGCAUGAGGGGAUGGACAUGACCGUGACGAUGUUAUCGCCUGGCCAGUCGCGGCUGUCGAGUGCGCGGUCCGAGCUGCGUGAGUCAGACUUCACAGAUCCGCACUACCACAGCGAGUUCUGGUGGAAGGUGCGGCACUGCUACUACUACGGCCACUGGCCAAAGGGCAUGGCAGAGUAGCCGGGAAGCUUGAGCGCUCAAACGCAAGCGCUCACGCACCCGCGUAGGGUAUGCGUGUGUGCAUGUGUGUCUAUAGAUGUGCGUUGGCGGCAAGUGGAAACGCGAUGAUGUGAGAAUCACUGAUUUCCGUGCAUGGUCGUGGUGUGUCCGUGUCCACGCAUCCGGAAAGCGGGGAGGGAGGCUGUCUCACGUGAUGCUUCUGUGAAGGUGUUCACGGGCGCACCUAUCGAAUGAGCAAAGAGUG
This 1255-nucleotide unclassified non-coding RNA is filed under the name Leishmania donovani. RNAcentral describes it as "gene:LdHU3.33.1990(CDS-product:hypothetical_prote in_conserved)". Lineage: Eukaryota; Euglenozoa; Kinetoplastea; Trypanosomatida; Trypanosomatidae. The record is from RNAcentral.